RNAcentral lists this ribosomal RNA (451 nucleotides) under uncultured bacterium. RNAcentral's name for it is "partial 16S ribosomal RNA". It matches the Rfam family "Bacterial small subunit ribosomal RNA", at positions 354 to 796 of the family's 1533-position model. The record is from RNAcentral.
GUGGGGAAUAUUGCGCAAUGGGGGAAACCCUGACGCAGCGACGCCGUGUGAGGGAAGAAGGCUUUCGGGUCGUAAACCUCUGUCAGAAAGGAAGAACCUCCCAAGUCCGAAUAGGGCUUGGGACUGACGGUACUUUCAAAGGAAGCACCGGCUAACUCCGUGCCAGCAGCCGCGGUAAUACGGAGGGUGCAAGCGUUAAUCGGAAUCACUGGGCGUAAAGCGCGCGUAGGCCGCUUUGUAAGUCGGACGUGAAAGCCCUCGGCUCAACCGGGGAACUGCGUUCGAUACUGCGAGGCUUGAGUCCUGGAGAGGGUGGCGGAAUUCCGGGUGUAGGAGUGAAAUCCGUAGAUAUCCGGAGGAACACCGGUGGCGAAGGCGGCCACCUGGCCAGGUACUGACGCUGAGGCGCGAAAGCGUGGGGAGCAAACAGGAUUAGAAACCCUUGUAGUCC